GAUUGUUUCACUGAAAGCUGGUCUUCAUCGCAUCUAUUUUUUGUUCUUAUUUUGUGUUUUACUUCUUUGUAUUUAUUCAUGUUUAAUAUCAGUUGUCAUUCAUUAAUGUAUUCAGCUAGUAACUGUUGUCAAGACCACUGAUAAUUUUUUUAUGUCAACAAAAACAUAAUUCACACAACAUGCUGCUGUUGUGGUUAUUGUUGAUGUUUUAAUGUAAAACCCUAACUGAGGCUACACUCUAAGAUGCCUUAUUACUGAUUUUCUGGAGCUCAGCCAUCCAACUACACAGACUGCCAAUACACUCUCAACAGGUAAAUAAUGUCUUUCUUAAAAUGUCUAUAAAUUAUAAUUUUCAAAUGCUAAUUGAUUUCCUAUGUCUUUUCUCUUUUUAGUGUAAGAGAACAUGUAAGUGUGACCAGCUCUAUUCAGUUAAGGAUACUCUCCUCUUCUUCACUAAAUGCUGUCACAUCCUACAACCUCAUCAUCUACAGAGAGAAACUGCCAUUCAGUCACACCAAAAUACAGAUAAUGAUUAACUUAAAGGCUUCAUAGAGAAUUGUGAAGAUAUUUCACUGAAGCUUGGUCUUCAAUACACUUUUUUAUGUUCUUUUUUGUUUUAUUUCUUUAAGCAUUUAUUUAUGUUCAAUGUCAUUGUCAUUCAUUAAUGUAUUCUGCUAUUAAUUGUUGUUAGAACACUGUCAUUUUUGCUACAAUUUUACGUCAUUAAAAACAGUACCUAAUUGACAUCUUGUUGUUGUUCAUUUUAUGUAAAACCCUAAUAGACACUUAAGACCAGGCAGGUAAAGGGGUAAAAAAACAAUAUUAAUAAAUAAUAUAUACAAAUAAUACUAAUAUUAAUG
Molecule: long non-coding RNA, 860 nt
Organism: Cyprinus carpio (common carp)
Lineage: Eukaryota; Metazoa; Chordata; Actinopteri; Cypriniformes; Cyprinidae
Source: Ensembl